Molecule: transfer RNA, 77 nt
Filed under: Peptococcaceae bacterium
Lineage: Bacteria; Bacillati; Bacillota; Clostridia; Eubacteriales; Peptococcaceae
Description: tRNA-Arg
Rfam family: tRNA
About the family: Transfer RNA (tRNA) molecules are approximately 80 nucleotides in length. Their secondary structure includes four short double-helical elements and three loops (D, anti-codon, and T loops). Further hydrogen bonds mediate the characteristic L-shaped molecular structure. tRNAs have two regions of fundamental functional importance: the anti-codon, which is responsible for specific mRNA codon recognition, and the 3' end, to which the tRNAs corresponding amino acid is attached (by aminoacyl-tRNA synthetases). tRNAs cope with the degeneracy of the genetic code in two manners: having more than one tRNA (with a specific anti-codon) for a particular amino acid; and 'wobble' base-pairing, i.e. permitting non-standard base-pairing at the 3rd anti-codon position.
Source: RNAcentral
GUGCCCAUAGCUCAGCUGGAUAGAGUACUUGACUACGAAUCAAGGGGUCGAAGGUUCGAAUCCUUCUGGGCACGCCA